AGCCUCGUGGUGUAUAACAUGUUGGAUUGCAAAUCCGAAGAUGCAGACUAAUACCCUGCCGGGGCUU
This 67-nucleotide transfer RNA is filed under the name Barbus sp. CToL 051. RNAcentral's name for it is "tRNA-Cys". It matches the Rfam family "tRNA". Rfam says of the family: Transfer RNA (tRNA) molecules are approximately 80 nucleotides in length. Their secondary structure includes four short double-helical elements and three loops (D, anti-codon, and T loops). Further hydrogen bonds mediate the characteristic L-shaped molecular structure. tRNAs have two regions of fundamental functional importance: the anti-codon, which is responsible for specific mRNA codon recognition, and the 3' end, to which the tRNAs corresponding amino acid is attached (by aminoacyl-tRNA synthetases). tRNAs cope with the degeneracy of the genetic code in two manners: having more than one tRNA (with a specific anti-codon) for a particular amino acid; and 'wobble' base-pairing, i.e. permitting non-standard base-pairing at the 3rd anti-codon position. Lineage: Eukaryota; Metazoa; Chordata; Actinopteri; Cypriniformes; Cyprinidae. The record is from RNAcentral.